RNAcentral lists this ribosomal RNA (1204 nucleotides) under Bacillus cereus. RNAcentral describes it as "bacterial LSU rRNA". It matches the Rfam family "Bacterial large subunit ribosomal RNA", at positions 15 to 1214 of the family's 2925-position model. The record is from RNAcentral. Lineage: Bacteria; Bacillati; Bacillota; Bacilli; Caryophanales; Bacillaceae.
GGGCGCACGGUGGAUGCCUUGACACUAGGAGUCGAUGAAGGACGGGACUAACGCCGAUAUGCUUCGGGGAGCUGUAAGUAAGCUUUGAUCCGAAGAUUUCCGAAUGGGGAAACCCACCAUACGUAAUGGUAUGGUAUCCUUAUCUGAAUACAUAGGGUAAGGAAGACAGACCCAGGGAACUGAAACAUCUAAGUACCUGGAGGAAGAGAAAGCAAAUGCGAUUUCCUGAGUAGCGGCGAGCGAAACGGAACAUAGCCCAAACCAAGAGGCUUGCCUCUUGGGGUUGUAGGACAUUCUAUACGGAGUUACAAAGGAACGAGGUAGACGAAGCGACCUGGAAAGGUCCGUCGUAGAGGGUAACAACCCCGUAGUCGAAACUUCGUUCUCUCUUGAAUGUAUCCUGAGUACGGCGGAACACGUGAAAUUCCGUCGGAAUCUGGGAGGACCAUCUCCCAAGGCUAAAUACUCCCUAGUGAUCGAUAGUGAACCAGUACCGUGAGGGAAAGGUGAAAAGCACCCCGGAAGGGGAGUGAAAGAGAUCCUGAAACCGUGUGCCUACAAAUAGUCAGAGCCCGUUAACGGGUGAUGGCGUGCCUUUUGUAGAAUGAACCGGCGAGUUACGAUCCCGUGCGAGGUUAAGCUGAAGAGGCGGAGCCGCAGCGAAAGCGAGUCUGAAUAGGGCGUUUAGUACGUGGUCGUAGACCCGAAACCAGGUGAUCUACCCAUGUCCAGGGUGAAGUUCAGGUAACACUGAAUGGAGGCCCGAACCCACGCACGUUGAAAAGUGCGGGGAUGAGGUGUGGGUAGCGGAGAAAUUCCAAUCGAACCUGGAGAUAGCUGGUUCUCCCCGAAAUAGCUUUAGGGCUAGCCUUAAGUGUAAGAGUCUUGGAGGUAGAGCACUGAUUGGACUAGGGGUCCUCAUCGGAUUACCGAAUUCAGUCAAACUCCGAAUGCCAAUGACUUAUCCUUAGGAGUCAGACUGCGAGUGAUAAGAUCCGUAGUCAAAAGGGAAACAGCCCAGACCGCCAGCUAAGGUCCCAAAGUGUGUAUUAAGUGGAAAAGGAUGUGGAGUUGCUUAGACAACUAGGAUGUUGGCUUAGAAGCAGCCACCAUUUAAAGAGUGCGUAAUAGCUCACUAGUCGAGUGACUCUGCGCCGAAAAUGUACCGGGGCUAAAUACACCACCGAAGCUGCGGAUUGAUACC